This is a long non-coding RNA of Ceratitis capitata (Mediterranean fruit fly), 780 nucleotides long. RefSeq lists it as uncharacterized. The transcript is spliced from 3 exons. NCBI's taxonomy places the organism in Eukaryota, Metazoa, Arthropoda, Insecta, Diptera, Tephritidae. The record is from RefSeq and is a predicted model, not a curated record.
UAAAACUGUGAUAGAAUAAGUUUUCUCAACCUUUUAUGCCAUUCAAUCAAUCAGAAAAUUGAAAAUAAAAACUUCAAAAAAUAUUAUUUAAAAUUCUAAAAACAAAUAACUAACGUUUUGAUGUAAAUUUAAAAUAAAAAAAUACAAAUAAUAAAUAAGAAAAGGACGCAGAAUACAGACGCAUGAGAAGAAUUUAAAACAUGGCAUAAUAAAAUUCUUCGAUGAGUGGCACGACGCAUACAAAUAUACAUACAUACAUAGAUACAGUGCAACGGGGAAAUAUCAAAUCAACAUUCUACGCACAAAACGCUGGGAAUACCAAAGAGGGCACAAGUUAUUCUUUUGUGGCACUACAGACAACACACCGAGCCACCGAGGUAGAGAGUGAGGCAUAUGAGUACCGUUAAAAUGGGUGAGCAAGAAACGAAAAAUAAAAUGUGCCCACAGAAGCGAGAUCCCACAGACGAUCAAAGUUUGGGGAAAGCCUUGGUCUUGGCAACUCUUGGCAUGGCGGUCGGUUUGGUGCUCUGUGCCACCACAGCCGGCGCAGCAUCAACGGCCGCGGUGGCGGCGGAAUAAUUAUAAGUAACCAUCGCACGUAGCAGCGCUAGCUGUAUGACGGGAUUGUCGAUUAGGUGUGGCAAGACGUUGAAAAACAUAAUCAUCAAUAUUAUUGCUUUCAGCGAAUGCGGCUGGAUAAUGUCCCCAGUGUGUAUUUGGGCACACGCGCUUGUUUCUGCACACAAAAUGCCAGCAAAGUAACAUAAAAAAUAAAUAACA